Molecule: long non-coding RNA, 39111 nt
Filed under: Phoenix dactylifera (date palm)
Lineage: Eukaryota; Viridiplantae; Streptophyta; Magnoliopsida; Arecales; Arecaceae
Description: long non-coding RNA (PDAC_LNC001131)
Rfam family: tRNA (bases 3667-3767)
Source: RNAcentral
AAGAUAUCGAUAAAUUCGCUGAUUGUUUUGAUUUGCUUGCGGAUCUACGGUUUUGUAGCCUUUUUUUUAACUUCUCUCUUUUUCAAAGCAUACCCUUUCCAAGUUUUCUCAUCUCUUCUUGAUACUUCUCUGGAUCUAUAAGAAUAUUUCUGACUUUUUCAUAAUUUUUCUGUCGAUCGGAGAUAUAGGCUCUGUCGUUCUUCUUCUAAUUUUUCUUUUGGAAAUUUAAGCAAUUGUUUAUGAUUUUCGCUUUACACUUUUUUCGUUUUGUUAUACCUAUGAUUUUUUGAGGCCGGCACAGCUUGUUUAUGUGUUGGUAGUCUAUUUCUAUGAGGUAUUUUGCAGCUGGUUUUCUGUUGAUGGAAAAGGCUUUGAACCCUGGAAGGUUCCAUCUUUGUUCUUGUUUCAGAUCUACGGGCGUCGGAUUUUUUCCUGAUCUGUGCUGAUCGGGCUUGCGCGAUCGUCGUGAUCCUCUUCGACUUCUGUUCCUUCAAUCGGAUGUAAAAGAUGAGGUUGUUAAUCGAUGGAUCUCACCUGAUAUCUCUUAUUUUGAGAAAUUGGAAUGGGAGAUGUCAUGGGUUGGGUUUCUCUCUCUGAUGUAGAGCAAAGGGAAGCCAGGGAGAUCCAUGGAUGGGGGGAAGGUAAGGGGUGUUUGGGGGAGAAAAGAACUCUUGGAUCCUAUCUUGUUGUUACACAGACCUUUGCCAUGUUGGGUGCGCUCGCAUGGCAGGUCACAGAACGCUAAUAAAAUUUUUAUUUUUGUUGUGUUGCUGGGGGAGAUCGCACAGGGGUGGUCUUUUUCCCUGGGUUCUCCCCCUUCUGGCUUCUUCUCUUCUUUUUUUCCUCUCUGUUUUUUAAGCUUUUAUUUGCCCCCAACUACUUCGAUCGCUUAUACACCUAUAAGCAGUCGUCGACUUGUGAUAAAGAGAGCCUAAAGGGAUCUCCUCUCGUGGCCAUCAUCAACCCCCAAACAAUGAGGUACAACUGCACCAAUGCUUCCUAUCCAUUAAAUUUAAGUUCUUGGAGGAAAAAUGGUUUAUGGAAUUUAUUUCACUCAUUAAUUUAUUUCAGCCAAUUUUCUAGGUCGUUCGCAAGCAUCUUUAAAUCCAUGAAUAUGAAGGCACAAUUGCUGCAAUUCUGAAUAUCCGUUAUUUUUGUGUUCAUUUCAUUCAAGUAUUUUAUUCUUGGCGGUUUAUUCAGUACUCAACCUUGAAGUAUCGAACAAAUUAUGACGUUCUUGUAUCAUGCGAUUCUUCCUCCAAUUAAUUUAAUAUGAUGCGGACUAAUAUAGACCAUGCAAUUGUUUUAUUUUGUCAUGGUUCCAGUGAGAUGUUUGCUUCCAGUUUAUGUGCGAAAUUCGGCUCUAUUUGCUUGUUAAUUUGCAUAUACACGAGUUUUAUAGUGAUCUUUAUUGUGCUCUAAACGAGCCUGUGACUUUGGGGUAUCUUGUUAAUAUGUUCUUUUAUGAUAUCUAUGGGAUCACUUGCAUUCUGCAGUUGUCUCUCUUAUGUAACAUUGUCCUCUUAUCGGAGGCGAUUGUGUUUUGAGUCUGUUCCUAGGUGAGGGUUUCUCUUUGCUAUUGUUAUGUUGUGGUCGUUGGAUUUCUCUGCAUCAGUUCGAAGGCAAUUCAAGCUCGAAAGCAGGAAGACUAUGUGUGGAGUUGAAAGCACUGGACUGGGGAAGAUCUGCGGAAUAUCUUGGAUGAUCCAAUUUUUUAUCUUUGCAAUUGUGACAUGCAUUUAUCAAAAUGUUCUAUCCGAUGUUGCUACGAGUGGCUUGCAAUCGUCAUUAUUGAGGACAUUAUGGCUGGUCGGGCAAGUAAUCGCGAGGCAUCAUCCUUGUAGAAUGGUAAUCAACUCUUAAGUUUUAACUACCGAAUUUUAGAAGCUUUCUACGUGUAUUUAUUUCUGACUACAGGUAAUUUUCGCUGAGUUGUUUUUAUGGUCUUGGUUUGAUUGAAGCUUGUCGAUUUUUUUUCUUGUUUAUCUCUGCAUCGGAAGUACCAUAGCAGCGGCAUCAUAUCCAUUGGUGCUAAAUGUUCUAGUACUUGUUUUUUCUUUUUUGGGUGAGAAGUACUUGGUUUUUUUGGUGUGGUCUUUUACGGCUUAAUCUUAUAAUGUGUAUGAAUAGUUUUACUGCCUAGAUUUACCCCGAAUUCUAUUUAUAUUCGGGGUGGGUAUUUGAAGUGACCUACCUGUCCUUCGCAGUUGUCUGUGGUUGAAGCUGGCAGGAAGCCGAGCCGACUGUUGUAGGGCAAAUCUAAAGCAAACAAGGCUGCUCGUUUCGGAGACUCGUGGUAAUGGGGCCGUUGGUCGAGGCGAGGUGAGGUGCGCAACUGAGGUCGGGUUGGGUUAAAUUGUAAAAAUUAAUUUUGUAUAUAAAUUAAUUAAGUAAAAAAUAUGUAAGUAAAUUUAUGGAUGCAAGGUAAAUGUUAUAGCUGGGAAGAAAAAAAUAUUGCUUGCAGAAAGUGAAGUAUUUUUGGAAUAAAAAAAUAAAUAAAUUGAAAUUAGUAAUUAAAACUAUAGUUUAUUGUUUAUUUUAUGUGAUAACUUUUGUUAGUUCGGUGGGAUGUUUUUUAAAUUGUUGUAGUUUUGGGGUGGGGUUUAGCUUGGGCAAUUCUCAUCGUUCGCUCCCAUGCCAGAUCGGAUGUUUGGCAUAUAAGGAGAUGAAACGGAAAUUAGAUUUCGGCCUCUAGCCCUGGGUAGUGGGAUGGAGUAGAUUGCCGCCUGGUGUUUGGGGAAUAAAUUUGAACCGGCUACUAGAUUUAUCUUCUUUGCACGGCAGUAGAGCUUUAAAUGGUGAGUAGGGGCACGGCAAAUGUUGGGGUUUUUUUUUAUUUUUAAUUUAGUGGGGGUGUGGGUUGCAUGCUUGCGUCUUGGCUUGUGCUGGUAGCUGCGAAACACGUGGUAAAGUUGAGUUUGGUAGAACUCGAUGAGAAAUAUUUAAGGACGUUUUAUGUGCAAGACGAACGUUGAUGUAAGAUCUGGAUGGUGUGGUACUGGCGUUUUAUUUUUUCCGGCUUAUGCCUCCGUUUGUAAGGUGCCGGUGGCGGCUUUAUUUUUUUUUUUUGGUUAACUAUUUUUGAUGGAUGAUUUCGGGAUUAGGCUACUUUUGGCGAGGUCGGGCCGUUAAAGUCAAUUUUAUAUAAUAAAACUAUUUUCGUAGUACGGAGGGGGAAGUAACGUAAUAGAGUGAAAUAAUCUAUGAAUGUUUUUCAUCAAGUUUUGAAUAUCUACCAUAGGGGAAUUAAAUAGUUGUUUUAAAGGAAUUGCUGUUAAUAAAUGGUUUGAAUGGUUUUUAUUUUUUAGUUCGGCGACCUUAAUUUUUCAGAUGCUGGUAACAAUUUUGUCCUAGGGAGGCCUAUAAUGAGGCUGAUUGGGUAUUUGUUUUUUUUUUUCCUUUAAUUUUUGAGGACGUAGAUUUGGGGAUGCUAACAUGAAUAUUUGUUUUUUCUUGGCGUGUGUUGGGGGAGUGAGGUAAAAAAAAAAAAUCGAUUGGAUUAAGGUUGGUUUGGUUGGCAAAGCAUUUAAGAACGUGUAUGUAAGUUUUGAUAACGGAAGUGAAUUAAAUAUAUUUCAGGGGCUGGUACUGUAUUUGUACGUUUGUAAGCGUAGUACCUUAGCUGUGGUAUAUCUUCGUGUUUUGAGUGGUUAUUUUGCUACCUCUGGAUCUUUAAGCUCUUUAAAUGGUAAGAGCGCUCGAAGUUUUGAAGGUUGUCGAAUUUUCAAAAGCUCGAGAGGAUGGUGGUUCGAAUCCACCAAGAUCCUUUUAGCUGCUGGUGGUGGUUUGUCUCGCACCCUUUUUGUUGGCUUUGGCGAGGAAUUCAUGUUUUUUUUUUUUGUGCGGAGGCUAAUGAUUUGUCAUUACAAUAUAAUUGGUGGUUGCAUGCUUCUGAUAUCUAAAAAUGUGGUGAGCCUGUUAAAAAUAAUGACUUCGAAGUGUAAUGUCUGGGAAAAAUGGACUUUUGGUGUAAACUAUUAUCAGUUUAACUUAUGAAGAGCCAGAGACGAGAUUUUUUUGUAAAAACAAAUAAAGCUAGUUUCUUUCAUUUUAAAUUUUCUGCUUAUGUUUAAAAUGUAAUAAACAAAUUCAUACGAAGUAGUUAUAUGAUCUUCUUGUUAAUAACUAACAUGCUAAAUUGCUGCGUCUUCAAAUAUAAUAGAAUCAUUCAUGCAAAGUAGUUACAUAAUCUUUAUAGUCAAACAACAAAUUCACUAAAAUUUAUAUCUAAAGAAAAGUAAUGUUUGACCGUCUAAUGGUUUUUAGGUGCUAGUUGGAACAUAUGUUUAAUUGGCCACCAAAGAGGUAAGUGACCUGCCCGAGUAGAUGUGCUUGGCCGGGCCGGGUAGGCAAUUCAACUUUGAUAUUGAGUUUGAAAUUUAUUUGAUUUUAAUCUUAAAGUAGGCUCUGGGAUUUUACCAGUAACUAUAGGUGCUGUCACUACUAAAUAAAAUCUCAAUAGCAAUAUCACAUGUAAUAAUUUAUUUGUGAAAAUUUUAGAUAUGUUUGGACAUGAAGACCAUAAGAUUUUUUUGGCAAAAAGAAUCGAGAAUGGGCUGUUUCUAAGUGUCCCACUUUAGUGUCAGCCCAAGACCAAGAAAAGUGUAAUUCCUAGGUUAUUUCGUGUGAGGGGCUAGAAAUUCAGAUGGGGUUGACAUUAAAAUAUAUUAACAAAUUUCAAAGUACAAAAUGGUAUACGUACACGCAUAAUUAUGGAUAACUUCUACCUUUAUAAACUAUUUAUUCUUUCAUUGCAAUAUUAGUAUAUAAAAUAAUUACGUGUUAUCUUUAAACAAAAACUAGAAAGAAUAAUUAUAUGUUGGGUAGGGUUUAGAAAGUUUUUUAAAUUAUUUAAAAUAUUACAAUUUUCAUUAUUGGAAAAGAAAAUGAAAGGUUUUUUUUUAAUUUUCUAAGUGAAAUACUUAUUUUUUUGAUAAAAUUGAUUAUUAGAUAUCACAAGUUGGUUCUAUUAUACGUUACCAGUUUUAGAUUGCAUCUUGCCGGCUGGGAGGCAUCCUGAUGUGACGGUUUGGUGGUUUUAUUCUCCAUAUGUUUGUUUUAGAACUGAGUUUUUAUUAGGUCAGAUGCCUGUUUGGUUGUCCCUCUCCCCGAAUUUCUGGACCAGCGAGCCCUUUAGGUCUAGGUUUAACAAUAUUGUUGGUUUUGUCCUCAUUAGAAAUUGCAAAAACACAGUUUUUUCAUUAAUGUUUUGUAAUUGAUAUUAUGUAUAUAUUCUACUCUUACCCCUCUCACUUUUAAUCAUAGUUGUACAAAAUGUUUUUUAUUUUUAAAGCAGUUUUAAGUCGCAUACUUCUAUUUUUCAAUAUUUUUAAUUACAAUAGAUUAAAAAUAAAUUAUAAAUUAUUUAUUUUUAAAAUAAAUUUAAUAUAUAAUACAGAAAAUAUAAAAUUUAUUGGUAUUUUUAAUUAUUGUAAAUAGUAAAAUUUUAAAAGAUAUCUAAAAUUUCAUCAAGUUUUUUUUUUGGGGGGGAUGAUAUCAUAAUUUUCUAUCUAGGAAAGAGGGCACAGAUUCAAUUGCGAUUGAAACUAGUCCUUGAAGGAUGGAGAGUAAAGGUUAGCCCCUCUUAAUUUUUAAAAAAGAAAAAAAUAAAAUUAUGUUUGACUAAUUAUAUUUAAUUUUUUUUUGCAUGAAUAUCUUUUUAAAAAUUUAAAUUUGUGUAAAUUCCUUCUUAAAUUUUAUAUUUAUUUUUAUACGCUUAUAAAAUACUAUUUCUACACAAAUAUUCCUAAUUUGACAAUUUUUCUAACACCAUUAAUAAAAAUCAUAUUUAUUUUAAUUAAAAAUAAAAUAAAAUUCUAAAAUUAUUUUUUAUUUUUUUUUGCAACUGCCAUCUCUUUUUUUUUGCACAUAUACCUAUUAAUAAUAUUUUAGUCAUUUUAAUUUGAAACCAUUAAUUUUUUAAUGAUGUUAGAUGGCGCCAUGUACAAAAAUAAAGAUUAAAAAAAUAUAAAAAUAAAAUAAGUAUUUUACUAGAGUAUACAUGUAAAUAUUAAUUUUAGUAAAAAUAUUUAUGUAAAAUUCGAUAUUUAGGAAGAUAUUUAUGUAAAAAAUUAUAUUUUAAAAAAAAAGUUCAAGGGCUUUCACUGAAUCUUGGCAGCUCAAUCUGGUUCUCACCAGGUAAGUUACACUUCUGCGUGACUAUGAUGGACCGGGACAAAUCGCCGGUUCAUUGAUUACCUGGUUUGACAUAUCCGGUCCAGUUUUAUAAUCAAUAACCAUGCUUAUAAUCAUGCAAUGCACAUCUUUAUUUUUCGAAGGAAUGAACGACUGUGACUGCAUCAAAUGAUAAAUUUUGUAGUAUCUAUAGUUUAAAAUCAAAGCCAUUUAUACAUUCCUUCGAUCACAUCCAUCCACAUAAAGUACUCAAACAACUCCAAUCAUGUAGCAAGACCAUAAGUGUGUAGAUUGUGAUAAUGCACGUAACAUACUUAAGUAGGAUAAACUUAUGUCGACCAGUAAUUGCUCCUAUGGUGAAUAUUAGGCCAUGCAAAACUAGUGAGAUAAGCAAAGUUAUUGUAUCAGAACUAAAUCGGUGGUUUCUGGACUGGAAGAACGGUGAACCUGUAAUUGGAUUGGAUUGCAUCCAACUAGAUGGAGACCAAUUGGCCCAAUGGGCUUCAGCCCAGGCAGUUGGAACUGUAAUAUCCAGUUUCAGCCCAUGGCCGAAGAAGAGACCGAGACGGGAUCGCAACGCGAUCUCCUGGUCUUCUUCCUCCGGGUAACGGAGGCGAGACUGGACCGAGGAUGCCGCGGCCUCUUGAAUGGCCUCCGAUCCCGCUUAACCACCGCGAGCAUCACGGCGGUGAACGAGCCACGGCCAAUUCGAAGAUCGCCUAUUAAAAAAAAAAAGAAAAAGAAAGAACCCCGAAAGGCUCACCAGGCCGGGACCCCCUCCUAUCACGGUUUCUCUUUCCCCUUCUUCCUUCAGGGUUAGGUUUUCCUGAACCCACGUCGGUGUCGCCGGGGAUGCUACUCGCAGCUUCCCCGGAGCUAGGUAAGCCGCUGAUCAUGUUAUUUUUCCUGCUUUCCUCUUUCCUGUUUCUGAGAUGAAAUAGCGGAGGGACUCCACGGCUCUCGGGCGGGGGCUGCAGUCGAGCCAGAGUCCCAUCCCCUUCUUUCUCUUCGGUGGGGCAAAGGGCCUCGGUGAAGGGAAGAAGGGAGACGGAAAGAAAAGAAGAAAAAGAAGAAAAGAAGAAAGAAGGACCUCACAAAAUAGCUAGCCAGAAGGUAUUAUUUGGGUUCCUUGAUCCUGUAUAAGUAUCCAAGAUCUACCCAGUGAAUAACCAAUGUGGGACUAAACACACACCCGCACAGGUUCUCACAUACUCCCCCCGUUCAAGCCGUGACGUCUUCGUCAGACUAAGAGUUCAAAUUUAUUCAAAUCUAAUCACAAAACUACGAUCGGUCCGUGGUCAGCCCCAAUAGAUCUGUGCUGCAGUAUUUCCUAGUCCACAUAGGUUAUGUGCCGGGUCUGCUNNNNNNNNNNNNNNNNNNNNNNNNNNNNNNNNNNNNNNNNNNNNNNNNNNNNNNNNNNNNNNNNNNNNNNNNNNNNNNNNNNNNNNNNNNNNNNNNNNNNNNNNNNNNNNNNNNNNNNNNNNNNNNNNNNNNNNNNNNNNNNNNNNNNNNNNNNNNNNNNNNNNNNNNNNNNNNNNNNNNNNNNNNNNNNNNNNNNNNNNNNNNNNNNNNNNNNNNNNNNNNNNNNNNNNNNNNNNNNNNNNNNNNNNNNNNNNNNNNNNNNNNNNNNNNNNNNNNNNNNNNNNNNNNNNNNNNNNNNNNNNNNNNNNNNNNNNNNNNNNNNNNNNNNNNNNNNNNNNNNNNNNNNNNNNNNNNNNNNNNNNNNNNNNNNNNNNNNNNNNNNNNNNNNNNNNNNNNNNNNNNNNNNNNNNNNNNNNNNNNNNNNNNNNNNNNNNNNNNNNNNNNNNNNNNNNNNNNNNNNNNNNNNNNNNNNNNNNNNNNNNNNNNNNNNNNNNNNNNNNNNNNNNNNNNNNNNNNNNNNNNNNNNNNNNNNNNNNNNNNNNNNNNNNNNNNNNNNNNNNNNNNNNNNNNNNNNNNNNNNNNNNNNNNNNNNNNNNNNNNNNNNNNNNNNNNNNNNNNNNNNNNNNNNNNNNNNNNNNNNNNNNNNNNNNNNNNNNNNNNNNNNNNNNNNNNNNNNNNNNNNNNNNNNNNNNNNNNNNNNNNNNNNNNNNNNNNNNNNNNNNNNNNNNNNNNNNNNNNNNNNNNNNNNNNNNNNNNNNNNNNNNNNNNNNNNNNNNNNNNNNNNNNNNNNNNNNNNNNNNNNNNNNNNNNNNNNNNNNNNNNNNNNNNNNNNNNNNNNNNNNNNNNNNNNNNNNNNNNNNNNNNNNNNNNNNNNNNNNNNNNNNNNNNNNNNNNNNNNNNNNNNNNNNNAUUAUUCAAAAUUCUCAAUAAGCCCUAACUAGGCCUAAAGAUUUGCAACAUUUGUAUAGACUUUAGCCCAUCUUAUUUAUGUCAUCAUUGAACCAGUCGCACUAAUACUUAGUUUUAGCUUGCAUGCUUGCUUGUGGAAAAAUUAUUUUCUACACCACGUGCACUAUGGUGCAUCACGCCUAUCAUCUCGUUUCAUUUUUGUAGGUCUCAUUGAUUAAGCAUGGUGAUUGGCCCACACAAACGAGACGAGGUAAUUAGUAUAGUGCACUGCCCUGUGGUACGUGUGUUGGAUAUAAUUUUUCUUAUUUAUAUCAUCCUCAAAGGAGAUGGUCCUCACCUAGCAAAAUUUUUCCACAAGCUAAACUGAGCCUAUAUAUCCAUCAAAUGCACGUCUGGCCGAUGCAAUACCAACAAUCCUCCAAUACUUCCUUUUAAAUCCAUAUAAAACGAAAUAAAAUUCUCAAUUGGUUUGUGUGUUUUUUUUUUUUUGGUCUCGUCUCAUCAUAUUUUCGGCGAGAUAAGAGUGCAGCGACGCGUUCCAAGGUAACGUGGAGGACGUUGCAUGGAUGCCGAACCCAACUAAAUGCAACGCGUUACACCCAGCUUUCAUUACGAAUGCCGCGUGUAUCAGCUUAAUGGCUGCACACGUGGAGGUAGAUGGUUCUUCCUACUUGCUACUGAGAGAGAGGUUUAUAAGGGGAAAAGGGUCUCAAGGGGGGGAAAGAAAUCCAAAAGAGAGAGAGGGAGUAGAAUGCUUCUAGGAGUCGGUAGGGUGAUUGAUGGAGCUCUCCGUCUGAAGUCGCCGGCAGUUGAGAAUAUCAAGGCCAUUCGCCGGAGCCCGACGACCACCUUCUGCACGGGGGGCCGAGCAGCAUCGUCUCGAUCCGGCGGUGGGAGCAACAUGGAUAGCCAGGGGCAGCAGCAGCAGCAAAAGCCCGUAAAGACCACCGGGUAACUAAUAAUAUAUAGCUGUGAGACUACCAUAAUCUUGGAUCAUCUCUCUAUCUCUCUCUCUAGCAUCAUCUUGAUACUUAUUCUUGUAACAGUAGCUCUAAGUUUCCAAUAAAGGCGUUUGAGUUAAUCAGUUGAUCAAAAUGUAGGGACAAAACAAAGAAAUCUCGACCAGAAGUGAUCAUGUUGCAUCUAGACUUCCAAAUGAUGCUAGGCAGCUCAAAGUUAUUUUUCAUCAACUUACAAUGGUGGACGUAAGGGGAAAAUAUGAUAGGAGGAAAGUUUUGGUUAGAAAAUUCUGUGAGCAUUCAUGUGAAUAAGUAAAUGGACUUAUUAUGUAAGUGAGAGCAGAACUUAUAAGACUUAAUUAUGUAAACUAAUGGAUGCACCUUCGUGUCACUUUUGUCCUUUCUCCUCUAGAUAGAGUAGCACCAAUGGAAACGAAAACUGACUAUCCGAUGAAGAAGGAGAAUAGUUAUAAAGAUGAUGAUCAAAUGAAGAUGGAGUCAGACUUGGGAGAUUGCAUGGUAACAUUAGUAAUAACUAGAUUUGAAAAGAUCGAGUUUCUCUAGUCUCCCUGGCAAGUAUCUAUAAUUUCCCAUGAUAGGGGCCUCUAACAUUCUCCAACCAAAACGUGAGCCUUUUUUAACUCUACUCUCUCUCCCUCUCCCUCCCAAAAAAAAGGAAAAAAAAAUGUAGCCUGGAUCCUUCAUAGCUUUUCUGGACACCUAGCUGGCUAGCUUUUAAAAUUUAGCCAUUGAAUAGUGAUGAGGUCAAGGGAGAUCGGCCUCCGGCCCACGCGUCCAGUGCUAUGGGAGGAUUUGGUGCCCUCCGACCUCAUCCCCUCCAGUCUCAGACAGUGGAGGCGACUGCUUCUCCUCAAAGGUAUUGUCCGCUUUGAAGGGAGUUUCAUAGUCUCUUCCCAAUACACGGUUUUGUCCCACAAAAGGCACCUCUGAAGAGAAAGAGGUAGCCCCCCUCCAUUUAAGGACCAGGCCUAUCUGCUAUCUAGUUGAUGUGGGACUAAGUUCGGACCCUUUAUUCCCACAAUAUAGCCCCCCAAAUGGAAAGGUAUGUGACGGGGUCAAGGGCUCUCAACAAAAGCACCAUUGAUGAGGUCAAGGAAGAUCAGCCUCCGGCCCGCGCGUCCAGUGUUACGGAAGGAUCUGCCGCCAUCCAACAGACCUCUCCGCUAUCUAGUCGAUGUGAGACUAAGUUCGGACCCUUUAAUACCACAACAAAUAGAUUUGUAUAAGAGUGAUUAUGAUCGAGUUAUACGGAACCUUUAGUCAAAUGUUUCUUUGGUUAAACUUACUGAACUGGCGACUUUGAUUAGCAAACUAAAAACAUCAAGUAAUAAUCGGGAUAAUUUUUUUAUUAAUUAUUUCAAAAAUACAUUAGAAACUUCCACCAAAAAAAAAAACCCAAUACAUUGGAAACUUGUUUGUUCUUGCAGGGAUGCGAUGUCCCACUCUUUUGGGGAGGGUUACUCCACGCGGUCAGACGAGGAAGGAUUCGGAGGAGUUUACGGAGGAAAUCAGUCAAUCUCAAAACCUGGAGAACAUGAGAACCAUCCCGGUAAGAUAUCCGAAAACGAAUGGGAUUUGGUAUUUAUUCGUUUCCUCUGUUACUUGGCAUAGUGCUGAUGGCAUGAAGUGUGGGUUGUGGGAGCUUUGAAUUAGCCAUGGAUUAAAACCAACAACAAAAAACUCUCAUUCUGUUCUGCCACAUGGAUUAUCUUACAGUAUCUUAUUUGACGUUGUAAUCAGACAAGUAGACAUGAUAAGAUGUGCUUUUUCCUGUUAGCUGAUUCCAUUACUAACUUAUUGCUUUCCUUCUCUUAUUUUUUCCUUUUCUAAUUUUCGUGCCAAAAAGACUAUGACAAGUCGCAGGGCAGCGAAGUCAAAGAGAAGGAGAAAGGUCGGAACCAAGCACAGCCGUCAGUCAAGUGAAGAUUUACUGCUGAGGUUGUUUUGGUUCACUUUUCUUCAAUUCCAUUGGUAGUAAUUAGCUCCUAGAGGAACUUUGAUGUCUUCACACCUCGUUUGUUUCAAAUAAGAUGUUUGCCGUUUGUCUUAUGUUCUAUCAAGAAAUCAUAUUUGGUUCGACCGAAUUCUUAUUAAGGAAUUUUUGACGUUGCUAAUGUUUGCUCGCCGGGGUGUAUCAGUGCUUUUGUGAUCCAAGCCGUAACAUGUGAGUUUUUGAGUAGUUAAAGUCAGGUACUUGUAUCAUUCCUCUUCUUAUUGAGAUACCACUGUGGUGGUCGCUUAAAAAUUGCCACCAUCUGUCUCUCCCCUUGUUGACAUUGUUUAAGCUCACUGAUCUGAUAUCGCAGGGGUGCAAGAAGGUGACUAAAUAAGCUGUGACCUGGUCAAAUAAUAACAACUCCCUGCAACAGGGGAUUUGACCUAAUUAGAGUCAUCAGACUCUAUGCCCAUUUAAGGUAGGAUGAAUCAAUAGUGUAGAUAUAGGCCCAUUUUAAGUUCCUAGCUUUUUAGACCCCAAGAGAAGGUCAUUUUAAACUUGACAAAGCACUACAUGAAAGACUUAGUCAAAAUAUGGCCAUUAAAUGAUCAAAACCUUGUAUAAAGUCAAAAGUGUUUAAAAUUCUGAAAAUCAUUUUUAUUACUUCAUAAAAGUCUUGGCUAAUCCUUUCAUGCAUCAUUUCUUACUUCAUUUUUUAUUUUUUUGAUAUAAUAUUUGUGAAGCAUGCUCAUGGAACUUCCUCAUUCCCCAAUUUGUAUUCAAAAUAUAGAGACUAUUUUUUUUAAGGGAAGUCCGUCUGGCCUAAAUUAGGUGGGCGUGGAAUAACAAGAACCAACUCAAUAUUCAAAUAUAGAGAGUUUUUUUUUUUUUAACGGAAGAAAGUCUGGACCAUAUUAGGUCGCUGAUAUGAACAACAUCCAAUAACCAACUCCGAUCAGUCGGCAUCCUUAACCAAAGACAGAUUAUUUCAACUAAUCUGGCACUUGGAAGUCAUAUAUUGUUGGGGCAAGCUGCAUCAGGAAUUAUGAUAUGCACUUGUAUCAGAGCAACCGCCGUCCUUACUUCAACCACCACAGAGCUCUCUGGGUGCAAAAUUAAAAUUUAACCCCAAACAGUCCAUAUACGUUAUACGUAUCUCAAGCUUUGAGCAAAAGUGGCUUGCCUUGUGCUUUGGCAUAUUGAGGCUGUGAUGCACUUGCCAGAUGAGUUAAAAAUUGCAGACGCUCAUGAAUGACUUUAUGAUCCCAAUUAACCCGUAACGUGUAGGUCGGUGAAACUGGAUAGGAGAGGCAAAGUUUGGAAAAGAGUUGUAGGAGACUGAACCAUUUAGAGUGCUAUGCUGGUGGUAAGAAAAAAAGAGACACCAAAUUGCUCUUGCCUGGACUCCAUGCGAACUCGAUCGGUUGGUGAAUGGCUAGCUAGGCACCUCCAAGCUUGAACAUUAGCAAACAGAAACAGUCCACACAAUCUGCUUACGAGGACAAAAAUGCAGAAAAUGACAUGAUAUAAUCAUAACCAAUAGCUCAAAUGAAAUUAGCGAUAAUCCGUCAUGAAUGCAUCAAUAAAGGAAGUUUACAAUGGAAUCUCACUCAAGUCAUGCCUAGCGUUGAUGUCCCUAUAAACAAUAAUCUCUAAGAAUGCUGACUGAUGCAUAUGCUAUACAGGAACUGGAAUUCAGGUAGUUAGAGCUUUAGAACUUCUGGAGUUGUGGCCGCUUGGAGAGCAAAUGAUCUGUGUCGCAGAUGCUAUUCUGUUGACUGCGCAUGCAAAGAAUGAACUGUUGGAUGAUCACUGAUCGCAAGCAGGAUUAACAGUAUAGUGGCCAGUGAAGCAGAACAUGAUGCCUGGCUCAGCAAAUUAUUGGAUAGAUCUUGCAUCAGACUGUAAUUAAGAACCAGGAAUGAAAUUCUUGAUUGCAAAAUGACAAAAUCAUGCUAGAUACCGGAAAUCAAAACAAAUAUUAAAACUGCACUUUUACUACAACAAAAAGAAAGACAAAUAAAUGUGUAAGUUUUAAAUAAAUAAAAAAGAUUGGAGGGAUAAUGGUAACUGCAUUUUUCAGAAAAAGUCCAACUUUUAUUUUCAUGCUUGCAAAAGCCGGCUUUUUUUUUCCAUCCAGAAACAUUCCAUUUCAGACUUUAAUGGACCAUGAUGCCUCUGCUUUUUAGAUUUCUCUAGAUCAAUCGAUGCACAUGUAUUGGUAGUUAAUGCACACACAAUAUAUGUUGAUGUAUAUGUAAAAAUAUUCUAAGUGUAGUCUUAGGGGCAAGGUGUAAUGGUCUACAAAAGUUUUAGAAGGACCAAGUUAUGCUAGUGGAUAUUUACUGCAAAAUUCCAUAAUCACUAGUAAAACAAAUUAUUUAAAUAAGAAAAUAAGUCUCCAAUGCAUCGCAGAAUUAUCAAUGGAACUGUGUCUGCAGUUGCUUCAGAAAUGUGAAUUUAUGGAAGAUAUAUUUAAAAAAUAUAGCCACAAAUAUAUCUUCUCAAACUAGUUUAUCUACAUCUUGCGACAAUUCGGUGUAUAUUCUCGUGGACAUCUUAGUGAAAAGGAUGUCAGCCAAAAUGUCAGUCCAGAAAUAUAUAGGUCAUUAAAGAAAUAGUAUCCUUGAAAGUUCUGAAUUUGAGCAAUAGUUUUUGUGCUCCAGUUUAAAUGGAGCAGGCAAUUGCAGUUUGAGAUGCAUUUUUCCAACAAGCAAGGUUACUAGGGGACAUGCAAAACCAGUAGUAAAGCAAUCAUUGCUAGGCUUUCCAUAAAAGAAACAACCCUUGUUUCAUAGUCCUACGAAACCAUAAAAUCUCAAGGCAAUAAAUAAAACUAAGAAUGUAAAGGUAAUAUCACUCAACAAAGGAGCUGCAAGAGGAUUUUCAGAGUUUGAUAGCUGAGACAAAUAGUAUUUUGUUGUCCGUUAAUAGAAUAAGUUCAGACAUUUAAUGUGAAAACCUAUGCGAGUGUGUAUUUAGUCUCAUAUCGGCUAUGCAAUUCGUAUAUCCUAGGUACUUAUACAGGACCAAGGAACCUAAAUUAUACCUUCUAGCUAGCCUUUUUUUGGUGAGGUCUUAGAUUGUUACAAAUAGUAUCAAAGUAGACUUGACCCAUGGUCCAUAUGGAUUUGGAAACACUGCAACACAGGUCUAGAUUGGAUUUAUGGUACUUGAAAUUGGACUUGAAUGGAUUGUAUUUGUAAUAACCCAGGACCUCAUCUAAAAAUGCUAACUGAAACAAAGGGUCAGUCGGAGAUGGUAUUGUGAUGGGACGAGAACAAAAGGUAAGGCAAUAUGCCAUGACAGAUGCUUCUUUCAAGCAACUUUCUUGCAUUUUCCAUUUGUUCACUCUAUGUGCAAGUAUAUAGCUACCAACAUCUACUAGAGUCAACUGCAAACUUAAAUAAGAAAAGACCAUUUGGAUGAGUGCAUACUAUGAGUCUCUUCUUUUGUACCAUUUAUGAAUUUCAGGAAAAUCUUACAACCUAACAUGUAUAUGAUUAUAGAACUGAAUCCUGAUAACAGUCAAAAGUUCGGCACCUGGAAAAUUCCUAAAUAUAUAUACCUAUCGCAUAAAAGUAAAGGAGAAUAGUAAGCUGCUUACAGAGGUCUCAUUGUUUAGACUUUUGCCUGCAAAGCAGGAAUAUUCAACUAUGAAGAAGGACACUCUACUAAAAAGAGCUUUAUAACUAUCUAGCCAUGUAACGGAAUUUUAGAUCUUUAAUAAUUUUUCCUGUGACAAAGGAAAGGAAUUUUAGAAAGGCUGAUAUAAUUGAAUAGAAUAUGGAUCAUUACACUUAAGUACUUAUGCCAGUAGAAGAUUAGCAUAUUCAAAGCCAGUCAAAAGUUACAGUUGUAGAAUUGAAACAUAUUAACUACCGCACAAUCGGAUUAUAUCAAAAUCAAGUUGGUGGUGGGUUGUGAUCCCUCAAAUGACAAAUGCAACACAUAUUUCUCAUAUAUUGUUAUCCUGAAAGUCAUAGCAUAUCAAAAGCAAUGGAAUAUGCAAGAACAAGAGAUCUAACAAAUUAAAACAUACUACAUUAUAAGAAUUCUGAGACGGUCCAACAAAAUGGAAAAGAAACUAGAUCUUUCAUGACAAACAACAAUUAACACGGUCCAAAAGUUAGGGUUGUUCUUACAUACCUACCUGGCUCAUCUCCACAUUGACCUUUCUGAAUCAGCAGCUAUCACCUUCUCAGACAAAAGUGGGAUACGUCCAGUGGGUGCAUUAGAUACAUCCAGCAUUCUUUCUCGUGUCAACCGGUGUUCCUGCAAAGUAUAGUUUGAUACAAAUCAUGUAAGCUAUAAAACUUAAGAAAAAAGUUUUAUCGUGCCAGAAUGUUAGUAUAUAUUUGUCAUGUUUAUGCAUUGCAUCAUAUUCCGGAAUGUCAAUGUUGACAGCAUUACAUAUCCACUAUAUGAACUCAAUACUAUCCAAAUCAAGUCAAAUUGUCAUGAAAGCAAUUGAUAAGUGAGAUUUAUUUGAUGUAUAAUCGUGCAUCUUGGGCACCUCAUGUGGGUAGGCCUAGGAGGCACAACUUUAGUAAACAUCUUCCAGUAUUAGGGAAAAAAUUAUACUGUAUUGUAGAAUUCCAGACAAGAUUUUGAUGCCUGGAAAUUGUGAAGUUGUGUAUGUGGGACUCCAAUGAAACAAUAGAAUAACAAUUGUCCUAUCAAAGUAAAAUAUACAUAUAGCACAUAACUUUAAUUGCUUGUUUAUUAAUUUCAAUAAAAUAUUCAAGUGCUUAAAUUUUAGAUCCAUUGCAGCAAACAUCCUCGGUGGAUUUGCCAGCAUUACACGUUGCUUCUCUAAAGUUUCAGAAAAAACCGAUUAAUUUCAGCCUCUAUUUUCAUAGCAAAUCCUUGUCCCCUUGUUCCUUCUGCCAUGAUUCACUUCACUGGCUCUGAUAUUAGAAGAUAUGAAUUAAAAUAGCUGAGAACAGACUAAGAUGAUUUAGAACAUUAGUUCUUCUUUGGAGGGAUGAGUGACAUCCCAGAACGGAAGAUAUUACAGAAAUAACUACCUGGCUCAUCUAUUAAACUUGUAAAUAUAAUAUACGGCUUCAGAAAAUAACUAUCAUCUAACAACUACCCAUCAUCAGUAUUCUAAUUUCUAACAUUAUAAAAUGAUACAUCUAAGCUGAAAUCCAGGUCUAAAGAUUUUAUAUAACUUGGCUUGUCAACAAAUCUUUGACCACAGUGUAUAACUAGCUCUAGAGAGAUCUCUUGCAAGAUAAGUCUUUGAAUAAAAGUAUUGAGAGAUUUUGUAAUAUAUGUCUAGUCAAAUUGUAGACAAUAAGAAUUAAUGAAGUGGUAUGGUAUUUCCCAUGUAUGUGAUGGUAUAUGUCAUAUAUGACAAAUCUACUCCUAACAAAUAGAAAAAAACAAUAGUUCACCCUUAAAUUUCAAUUGAUUGCACUGGGUUUUAAGGUUCCUUGUGUAAAAUCCUUCAGUCAUAUUUUGUGUUAGAAUCCAUUAACUGAUUGAUUGUGCCAAACUUAGUCGGCCUUACUAAACUUCAUCUUGAUUGAUUUGUGAUUGAUCGUGCCAAACUUGGUCAUCCUUACCAAACUUCGUCAUCCUCCUAGCCUAUACAAAGGCUGCUCCUGUACAUUGUAACAGAUAGGCAGAAAUAAAAUUCUCCUCUUUUUCAUUUUUUUAACAUGGUAUCAGAGCCACUGAUCACGUAACCUACUGCUGUCGUCCUCUCUUCCGCCUUGCUGUCGUCCUCUCUUCCACCUUGCUGUCGUCCUCUCUUCCGUGGUUGCUGCCGUCGCUCGCAGAUCUUUUGUUUCUCUUGCCUCGUUUGGGGGGUAGCCGAGGCUCCGGCCUCGGCGGCUUUCAAAGCUCCCUUCUUUUCAUCGAGAUCCUGAUAAAAUCAUAGCCUUUUUUCUUUCUUUUUUUUCUCUUUAAUUAUUUUUUGUUAUUAUCCUACUAUUUGUUGAGAAAAAAAAAUCCGUGGGAGGCUUAUGCUUCGUGGAGGGCUCACGGGUUUGGGUUGUGUAUCCUCUCUUCCAAGGCACCAUGCUUUCGGUGCUCCUAUUUCUCCAUGGAGGCGGCGGCGACGCGUGCCAAACCGUACCGUCAAAAGCUUGGCGUGUAAACUUGACGAGUGCGGUCUCGAUCCGAACUCCAGCAGCAACGCGUCAAACCAUAUCGUCACAAGCUUGGCGGGUAAACUUAGCUGGCGUGGUCUCGCUCCAAACCCCAGCAGCAGCGUGUCAAACCGUACCGUUAGAAGCUUGGCGGGUAAACUUAGCAGGUACAGUCUCGCUCCAAACUCCAGCAGCAGCGCGUCAAACCGUACCGUCAGAAGCUUGGUAGGUAAACUUGGCAGGCGCGGUCUUGCUCCCAACCCCAACAAUAGCGUGUCAAACCGUAUCGUCAGAAGCUUGGCGGGUAAACUUGGCAGGCGCGGUUUCGCUCCAAACCCAAACAGCAGCACGUCAAACCGUAUCUUCAGAAACUUGGUGGAUAAACUUGACAGACGCGGUCUCGCUCCAAACCCCAGUAGCAACGCGUCAAACCAUACCGUUAGAAGCUUGACGAAGAUAAACUUGGUAGGCGCGGUCUCGUUCUAAACCCCAGCAGCUCCUCUUCCUACUCUUGAUCUAGUACGUCAAUUUUUCGGUACAUUCGUGAUCCAAUUUCUACAACUGAUCAGCUUGCGGAUGUCUUCACCACAGCUCAUCCUCCUGGCAUCUUUCGAUCUCUUGUUUCCAAACUCAAGUUGGUGUCUACUUUACCACCUUGAGUUUGAGGGAGGAUGUUAGAAUCCCUUGAUUGAUUGUGCCAAACUUAGUCAGCUAUACUAAACUUCACCUUGAUUGAUUUGUGAUUGAAUGUGUCAAACUUAAUCGGCCUUACCAACAUUUCAUUUUAUUCGGAGCAAGAAAUGGUAUAUUAACUAAAUUUAAACAAAAUGGGAGCCAAUCAAAACCUUCAUGUUUCAUUAAAUGAUGGUAAGCAAACAAAAGCCUGAGGGAAGGAGGCAAAGAAGGAUAAGAAGAGAAAUGUGCCUAAGAAGAAAAAUUAAAAUGAUAAUCUUUGAAGUUCAUUCUCUAAUAAAAAAGAUAGCCUCGUUCGAUAAGAAAAAAAUCACUCUACUCGUUCCAAAAGAAAAAUACACUCGACUCUUAAUCUUCCUCAAAUUACCAUCAAAAUCUAACUUCUCUAUCUGAAACCUGCUUAAUUUCUCUGCAGAGUUCAUUUAAAAAGCAUGUGGCAUGAUAGUGUACUAUUUCUUACUAACUUGGUAAACAGCUUUCAAUGAUCAUGUUGAGAUAUGGAAAUUUGCAUUCCUGCUAGUUAGGCUAAAAUCACCACCGUAGAGGCAUGUGAUAUCACGAUGAUGAAGCAAGCAACCAUAUCGAUCUAAACUAUGUCCAUAUUCUUGCCGCAGAUCAAAUGCCUUCUUCAAUCUCACACUACCAUUAACUAUACCAUCUUCUUCAACUUUACCUCCUUUAUAUCACCUUUAUAUUUGUAUCUUAGCUUUGCUUCUUUGUUGAUGACAUGAGUCUAGUUCAUAUUCUACAUCAGCAACACUAGCAUUGCAGAAAAUUACAGUUUCAACCUCUCCUUAAUAAUUUGUAUCAGAUCCUCUACAAGGAAAGGACCAUGCUCCAUCAAAUAAACAAUUGAACAGUUUCAUCCUGUUGACAUACUUUACAGGGUUCUGGUUAUUAAUAGCUGUUUAAGUGUUUUAACAGCUCAUGAAUUAAAGAAAAAAACCCAUAAGACUUCCCUGGAACUUGUGCACUUAAGAGGUGUGCAGUUCUAGUUAAAUGAACCAAGGAAACGAUUUAGAGAUAAAACAUACCGUGCGAAAAGGAAACUCAUCUCCUUCAAGCAUGUGUACAAUCUGCCCCAUCUUUGGUCGCUUUUGAGCAUCUAAAUCUACACAUCGAAGGCAAACCAGCAAUACCCUCUUCAAGGCUCUUGGCGAAGGCUGAACUUCCAUCAAUGGAUCUACAACCUCCUCUCCACGUCUACUUCCUACCAUUCCUUUAAACCAUUCGACCAAGUUUACCUGCAAACAGAUCCAAUCACUUUCAUGAGGCUAGGAAUAUCAGAAUCACAAUUGAAGAGAUUUAUGUAAACUUACCUCUCCGGGUGGUCUGCUAUAGUCUACGGGACAUCUUCCUGAAAUUAAUUCCAUCAGUAGAACCCCAAAACUGUACACAUCGCUACUUUCGUUGAGCAUGCCUGUGCAUGCAUAUUCAGGAGCCACAUAACUGUGCAGGCAUUCGGGACAAAGAAGUGUGUUUAGUUCCUCCGCUCAUCAUUGACAAAUUUUCAUCAUACAAAUAUCAUAGAUAAAUUAUACUAUAGAACAGAACAAGGCUACCAGUAUUGAUUGAUAGACGUGCAAAUGUGAAGAAGAUAAAACAUACCCAAAUGUUCCCAUUACACGUGUUGUUACAAAGCUAGAACCAGAGCCCAAGAGUUUAGCUAAUCCAAAAUCUGAUACUUUAGGGUUCCAAUGCUUAUCCAGAAGAAUGUUGCUGGACUUUAUAUCCCGAUGCACAACUUUGGGCUCUAAUCCUUCAUGCAAAUAUGCUAUUCUGAAACCAGAGCACCAUUUCACGAAGAUUAGGCAGUGCUAAAAGCUUGGCAAAAACUCUCGGGAAGAACAUUACAACAGAGUAAAGAUGGACAAUAGAAAUGCACAUUUUUUUACCACUAUGAACCAGAAAGUAAUACAUUGACCAGUUCUUGAUCAUGCUAAGCAAUUACAAUCACUUCAAGCAUUGAGCAUCAAUUUAGCAUUACUGGCAUUUCUUGAAGGUUGGCCUUUUAAAAUUGUAAUCAAAAUGUAUGACAAUGAUAUAAAUAUAACAAGUAUGAGAAAAAAAAAUGUUUUGGUAAACUUACUGAAACUCUCACUUCUGUUACAGAGUAAUCAUGAAGUGUGUUAGACAUAAUAAUAACAUGGAGAUUAGUGAAGAAAACAAACCCUUUCGCUGUUCCAAUGGCUAUUUUCAUUCUGAUAUCCCAUGUCAGCGGACUGACAGGGCCAACAUCUCCAUGCAGCCACCGAUCCAGAUUCCCAUUAUCAAUGUAUUCAUAUACAAGCAUCCUGAAUUGGAAACAGCAAAUAUUUAGACAAUGAUUAUUUGACAUAUUGACUGCAUUUCCAGCUAAAAUAAAUUCACGCGAGAAAUUCAGGCUACCUUUUAGCACCUUCUGCACAGUACCCAACAAGUCCCACAAGGUGCUUAUGCCGUACUUUUCCGAUGGCUUCUACCUCCACCUUGAACUCCUUCUCUGCCUGACCCCUAGAGAAGCCGCACAAAAAUACGUAUCCACAAAAGUUUACAUAAAGGAAACUAAAGAGACACUCAUAUCUUCUUUGUUGCACCUUAUUUCCUUUCAGUAGGGAAAAAAAGAGGAGGCCAUAUGGUUUGCAGAAACAGGAAAAUCGCCUCUGAUAGUACAACCUGUUUCUUUGUUAUCCAUUUCCUUGCUUUAGGAAUAACAUAAUUCAUCCUUUCCUCCACUUUCAACUAAGAUGGAACACUUGCUUAAAGCCCAGUUGUAGGUUUAACAAAUUGCAACUUAAUGGUUUGCAACAUCACAGGAUAAUCUACCAGUGCCUUCUUGAACUUACAACCCAACAAGGAUCAAAAGUGCUACUGAUGUUCUUAUUUUGCAAUUAAACACUGUAAAAAAAAAUUCAGGAAAAAAGUUUAUCUCCACCCAGUAAAAUUAUUUUUUUUCAGAAAAAAGGUUAUAUCCAGGAGUGCUCCUGUGAUUUUUAUGAUCUCCAACAUAUAAAAAUCUACGUCUAAAAGACAAAAACCUGAAUCAGAUGCAGACCGGAACUUUAGAAAUUUCAGCCAUUUUUGACUUAAUUCGUGUUAUUUUAGUUCUUUAUCAGCAUUAUUUCGAUAACUACGACUAUAGCUUAUAGAGGAAUCAAAGAAGCAGAGCACCUCCAUUUUGUAAGUAGACAAUGCCGGCAGAGCCAUUUUUUCCCGUUUUAGUAUAGAAUAGAGCCGUACUCACUUGUUAUUGAGAAGAUUUUUGACGGCGACGACGGAGAGGUCAGGCAAGACUCCUUUGUAGACGACGCCGUAACCCCCCUCGCCGAUCACAUUCCCGGCGCUGAACGCCCCUGUCGCCGCCUCCAGCUCCGCCAGCGAGUACCACCGCCCCCACCCGAUGUUCCCCAUCCUCUCCGCCGCCUCCGACGACGACGCCCCCGACGACGACCCUCGCAACCUCUCCCCUUUAUUAACCCCCACCAACCCCUUCUUCUCCUCCUCCACCUCCACCUCCCCCACGCCGCCCCCCGCCGCCUGAUCGACAGAGAUCUCCUUGGUCGACGAGGGGAUGAUGCCAGACGUAUGCUUCACUCGCGACGCCGCCGCCCGCCGACGGAAGAAGAGAAAGGCGAGAAUGGCGCCAGCCAGCAGCAGAGCGGCUGCGAUCGCGACGAGGAUGUAGACAGGGAGGCCAAGCACGGCCGUCUUCUCCGCCAGGAAGCCGCCCGAGGUGAGGGUUCCAGCGCCCAUUUCCGGCGGAGCCACAGAGAGAGAGAGAGAGAGAGAGAGAGAGAGAGAGUGUCUCUUGUUAGGANNNNNNNNNNNNNNNNNNNNGAGAGAGAGAGAGGUGUCUCUCUUUUGGAAGGUAGCAGGUGAAAGAGAGAAAGAGAGCUGCAACGAAGGCCUUCUGGCUUCAGUGCCGGGAAAGCGACGGUGGCACUACUGUUUGGAAAUCUUUGGGAGCAAGCGUGAUAAAAAAGUUUAUUUUAUUGUUAUUAUUUUUUCCUUUUCUAAAAAAAAUAAAGAAAGUAGACGAGUAGGAAAAUCGUGCUCCCUGGCCAACUGGGAUUUCACACAUCUCUAAAACGAAAAGUGAGACCUUUUACUCCUUUUACUGGCCGUCGAGUUUGGAAAUUACCAACGGACAACCGUCGGUAAAUUCAAGCGGAGUUAGGAAAAUCGUGACAAGUGUAAACGAACUGCAGCUAUAUCUCUUCAUGCACUUCUCAAAUUGAAACUGUUCUCGUAGGUUCUGAUAUGAAAGAGUUGAGAUAGGUUGAUGCUACCUAGAACUUUUCUAUUGAUGGAUGUUCUAAUAUCUUAGGUAAUCAUAGUGACUAUUAGUAUACAUGGUUGCCUCUAUGGUUAUUACAUGUUCUUAGACUAUGAAAGAAUCAUGCAAUCAAAAAAAAGUUUAGUCAAUAAUUAAAAUAUCAGUACUAUGUUGUAGCAAUAUAUUUUUGGAGCUGGCAUGGCAAAACAAAAAUAAAAUACCAUAUGCCAGUAUGAUAUCGAUACGGGAGACUAAUCAACAUGGAUAAUUUACCACCUAUUAUGUGAUAUGAUUAGUACAAAUCAGCAAAUAUUCAUACUUAAAUUUUUGGUAGUGGUGCUAGGAAUAAAUCUUCCUAAUUGGAAUGUAGGAGCAUUCAAGUUUUUUGCCUGUAGUACAUGAAAACUCAAUUGCUUCUGGCUAGAACAAUCGAACAAGCAACUUUGUGAGCAACCGUGUUGAACUUAAAAUUCACCUCUAAUUUUUAUUAAUAAAAUUAAGUUUAUUCAAAAUUUAUUGAGGCCAUUGAUGUCGUGCUAGGCUUAGCUUUUUCAAGCACCACUCAUUUCACAGCUACUGUAAUGGUAAUAUAAGUGAAAAAACAAUGUGGUUACUCACUUACUCUCUAUGUUUCAAUCUGAGCAUUUGAGCAAAUUUAUUCCAAAGCGCUUUAUCGGGUACCAGGGGGUACCUUUGUAAAUUUGAAUUACUGGAGCGGAUGGAAUCCACCUUUUUGUUUCGGUUCGAGUCUCCAAACAAGGCGAGGAGAAGGAGCAGCAAGAACUUUUAAAAACCGUAUUUAUGGUUUAUUUCAGAAAAUACGUGAACCUCUAGACUCCGGACGACUACCGUAUAGUACCGUUAGGAAAGAACCAGGUUGUCGAGCGCGUCACAUCGAGACACGUCACGAGCAAAGUGAGUCCCGUCAAAAUACAACACCGGCGCGAUGGUUUCUUUUGAAACGUGGCAGCUAGGGAGUAUGGAAGCCAGCAGUUGGAAGUUCGGAGACGGGUUCCACAUCUAUUGGCGUAUUUAUCAGCGAGCCAAGUGGGACGCGCCCGGUGAACGUUUGAGGAUUGGGGCCCACUGGAUUCAAAUUUGGUAGCAGCAACCACAGGUUCGGUGCUGAAUGGAGAAGAGACGCCACCUUGCAAGCGAGCCCUGGGGCCCGCCCAUUCUUGGACUUUUCUGAUGGCAGGGGAGGAAUGCAAAGCUUUAUCUAUUUGGUAAAUGUAGGGUUGCAAUGCCAAGUUCUAGGCUGUCGAAUCAAGAUUUUAAAGAUUUAAAGCCAUGUAGCUACAUUCUCCUCUCAGAAGUAUCCUUCUUGACAAGUGCUAAGCCUCGAACAGACACUGCACAAAACUAACAGAACCACUGCCUAUUGCCUGUCGCCUCUUGGUGUCUUCACUAGAAUGGUGGCAUUCCCACAGAUCCAAAGAAAUAAUGAAAAAAAUAAAAAGAAAGAUUGUCCCGUGCUUAGGUUUUGUCUAGAAGGUGAAUAAAGGCAGGGUGGGAGGCUGAGCAUUCGCUAUUGCGCGAUAUCCAGCAAGUGCUGAGGGAGUGUUGUGCCUUUCAGACCGUGUACAUGCUUCAUGAGACGAACAGAGCUGCUGAUUGGGUUGCUUCUUUUGUUUCUACCAUUCAGGAGAAUUCAUCUGAACUGGGCAUGCUUCUGUUCCUCCACCGCCGUGUAGUCUACUUUCUAGUAAUUCAGCUGGCAGUGCUCAUGUGAGAUUAGUGUGAGCAGUCGAUGUACUAAUAAUAAUAAUAAUAAUAAUAAUAAUAACAAAUAGAGGAGGUAGAAUUUAGUAGGCUUAUGUAUACGAAAGAUAAUCCGCCAACAAUAAUUCUCUAGUAUGCAAAAGAUACUAUGAUCUUUCUCUAAAGACCAAGCUGCAUACCUUAUCCUCAAGGCCAUUUUCUGAAUUGAUGGUUAGUUUAUCCAUUAUUGUUUGGAUUUUGCACAUCACAUCUAAAAUUUUAUUGAGAUUACACAUAAUACCAGCCCUUAUCCCUAUUUACAAAUUGUAUCAAACAAUAUUAACUUAGCUUCGUCUGUUACCUUCGCGAUUCGCUGAUUAACCAUGGCUCUUGGUUGAGUGAAGUAGAGAUAGUAAUGCCCCUGGUUACUCUUAACCAGGGUCGAAUCCAUCCAUUUUCUAUCGUUAUCGGCUUGGUUCAUCUAAUCCUAAUCAUCUAUUUUCUAUCACCAUCAUCAUCAGCUCCUUUCAUUGCCUUACAAUCUUUCCCUUUCUUUAUAUCUCUUUGGCCAUGCAUGCAUCUCAUGCCCAACCGCUGAUGAGGGACAAUUAACUACGAUCUCAGUGGUGCUUGACCUCAAUGGCAGCGGCGACUUCCAGGUCCAUCACUGGAGAAGGGUGCACUCCGCAACAUCCUUGCCUCUUCCCCGGCCCUCAACCACUGCCGUCAGCAAUCUCCUUUCCCUGCCUCCCCGCCACCCUCGAUCGGCACCCUCGGCAUCGGCGAGAUUCAGGUCAGGAGCUACCUCCGAUGGCUCAUCGCCAUGCAUCCUCUCUGGAGUCCUCCCGCCGCAACAGUUGCAGCCUCCUCCGAUGGCUCAUCGCCAUGCAUGCUCUCUGGAGUCCUCCCGCCGCAACAGUUGCAGCCUCCUCCGAUGGCUCCUCGAUCGCCAUCUUCUCUUGCGGCCUUAGCUAUUGCGUCCACUCUGUCAGCCACUUCCUCCAAUCUAUCCAAAAAUCGCAUCGUUAAAUAUGAUGCCUACUGUAAUGGUGGCAUGAUUGUACCCAUCCCCUCCAUCGUCACUUUCCGCCGCUACUUAAGCUAGCACUGUCACCUACACUAGUCUCGGGCUUGGAUUGUAUGCCACCAACUUGAGGAGCGUAUGGUCCUUGUGAAGGAGAGCGUAGAAAAUGAGAGUAAAACCAAAGUCAUACUAGCUCAAAACCGCCAACCGGCGACCCCAAUGUGAAAGAAAAAAAAAAAAAACCUACACACAAAGAAUUCCAAUGAUGGAUAAGAGUAAACAAUGAAUUAAAAAUCUGUUGAAAACUUUUCUGGUCUCUUUUAACUCCAAAAAUCUGUUGAAAAUUUCUGGCUUAUACUUUACAAAAUAAACCCAUGUGAAUCUUGUAAGAUUAUCAACAAAAAUUAACGUGUAAUGAAAUCCAGAAUUAGAGGGAGUACUAGUUGGUCCCAUUAAGUCAGUAUGAACAUGUUUUAAUGGAGCCUUGCAUCUUGAGAGAGAUUCGUCAAAUGAAGACGAUGUGCCUUUCCAUAUUGAGAACCUUUAUAAAUUUCUCUAUUACCAAAACUAGUAAAAUUUGGAAGCUCUUUUACCAAGUUCUUUGACAUCAUAACUCUUAACUUAUUCAUGUUAAGAUGCCUAAGUCUAACAUGCCAUAUGAAUGCAUUAUCAUUGUUACUCAUCUCUCAAUACAAGAUGUAAAAGGAGACAAAACAAAUAAAUCAUCAACUCGCUUACUAGUUUGGAUGACAUCAGCCUUCAAUACUUUAAUAUUUUAGAGGAACUUCACAUCAUGUGGACCAAACAAUAUAUAGUUACCAAAAUCUACUGCAUUCACCACCAAAAAGAGGAUUUUUUUAAUACCUGAGAUACGAAACACACUAUUAAGUGUAAUAGAAUAUUUUUUUUGCUGAAACGGAUGUAUCAUACAUAGUGGGUACGAAUAUACCCGAAAUCAAAAGAUAACAACGGUGCCUUCCUUCUCGACAGAAUGGAUAGUAUUGUCUAUUGUUAUAAUAGCAUCUUUUCCUUCAUAGUGACGAAAACUUGAGAACUUUGAGUCAUCUCCAGUUAAAUGAUGGCCACAACUAGAAUCCAUGAUCCAAUCAUUUUCAAAAUUAAUUGAAGCCAUAGAAUCAACAGUGGAUGUCUUGGCCAUGAAGAACUUUCUCCAACCUUCUUGAUUUAGAAAUUAUCAUGCUUUAGAGUUUCAGCUACAUUGUUUCCUUUCAACUUGACACGACAAUUUUCUCUUAUGUGCUAAAGUUUGCCGCGCCGAUAAUACUUAAAGGUCUUCUUGUUAUCUUUAUUUGAAGGAUUUGAAGCAUCACUAUUCACGCUUAAAUUAUUCUUCUUCUCUUUUUCUAAAAAUUCUUCUUUGAAGAGCAAAGUGCUUUAUUGAAACACUAGCCAUUUGUUUUGCCAAGGAUUCAUGUGAGGACAAAAGAUUCUCAAACUAGUCCAAAGAUAGUUGUUGAGCCCAUCCUUGGAUUGAUAUAAUAUAAGGAAUAUAUUCCGAUUUUAGGCCAUGAACAAUAUGAUGCUUCAACCGUGCUUCAGAAAUUGGUUCCUCCGAAUCCAAAAGUUAAAUUUCUGAACACAUAUUUUUAAUUUUUAGAAAAAAUUGAGAAAUUGAGGGAUCACCUUACGUUGUAUUUGCCAACUCUUUCUCUAACAUUUGCAGUCGAGCCACAUUCUUUUCAUUGAACAAUUUUCCAAGGGUUUGCCAUAUUUCAAUUGCCGAAUUAUACUAUAUAAUAUGAUCAAACACACUAUGUGAAAUAAAUCGCUUCAAGACAAAUUCUGCCAUAGCAUUUUUCUGCUUCCAUCGCCUAAGAACUUCAGGAUUUUGUACAUUAUUUUUCGGAGCUGUUGUAUUAAUUCCACUCACAACAUCCCACAAGUCUUCACUAACAAGAUAAGACUCCGUACAUGUUCUCCAUACUCUAUAAUUGGACUAGUUUAGCAAUUCCACACCAAGUCCACUAAUAUAACCACUCAAAUCCAUCUUAGAGCACCACCUGAUUUUCUUUACUAAGAUCUUGUCACAUACCAACUACCACCCUUGUAGCUCUGAUACGAUGUAGGAAAAUGAAGUGCAACCAAAGUCACACUAGUCCAAAACUGCCAACCACAAUGUUGAGAAAAAAAGCAAGCCACACAUAAAGAACUCCAAAGAUGAAUAAGAGUAACUAAUUAAUUGAAGCAACUCAAUACAACGAUGGAGAACAAUCGAUUUGUGGUUUUGUUCCCUAAUAGUAUUUUAUAGACUUUAUGAAGGCUUCUAGUACAUGCAUUCAUAUUAAUUGUAUGUAAUUAAAACUAUAUAGAAAAAUGAACAGAAAUUGUAGGAAGAUGUAAAGAUGGAUAAGUACAUGAAUAUAUUAAUGAUCAUUGCAUGAAUCUAGAUUAAUAUGUAUCUAGACUAUUCCAAGAAAUCAGCUUUACUAAUUUCAACACAGAAUGCAGGGAAAGAAGAGGGGAGAUGGAAGGCGGAGCAGGUGAUGAGGAUAUCUUCGCUACUACUCCAUAGAGAUCCUAGACAAAUAGGUGGCAGUGACCACUAGGGCGGAAGGAGACGAUCUGCACCAAGUCUCGACCUCACUGAGGAUGAUGACAUUGGUCACCAGGAAUUAUCAUGUGUGGAUUAAGUGGUAUAAUGGCGACCCCCGGGGACAGGGGUUGUACCUUACUUAGGAAAGAAGGAUUCCCUUUCUUUCACUUGAAUCCACUGUUGAAUCAUGCAAUAUGACUUCGAGAUCUAUACAGAUGGAUGGAUGUGGGAGUUCUGAGUUCUUUGAGAUAUGUGCGGAAUAUGAUUUAACGGUCGACAUUGUGAAGAAAGAACAAUCAUUUUUUUGCAUGAAAGAUACAACUUAAACCCAUCCUUAGGAACUCCAUGCUCACCCUUGCGUAGACCCGGCCGGUCAUCCCCCCAACUUCAUCAACCCCUAUUGGGUGGUUCCAUUCCCGCCUCCAUCCCCGGUGGUUUGGGCUCUUGGGGAUGGGCGUCCAUGGUGAGGGUGAUGGUCCCACCAUGAAGAGAAGAAAAUUGUCUUCAAGGGUAAUUUGGUCUCUCAAAGGUCACUACUAAAGAUUUUAUUAAGGUUUGUUGAUGAAGCAUUAUUUAAAUUGAUUUGUAAAUAGGGAUAAAAGGAAGUAUCAUAUAUAACUUUGAUGAAAAUCUUGGAUGUGACAUGCAAAUAAAUUGUUGUCUCCGCAUGCUCCGAGGAAGCAUUAACUACUGUGCUUAGCUGCAAGCUGGACAACUUUCAAUCAAUUAUAAUUAAAUAUUUGAGACCGCUUUAUCAGGUUUCAGGUAGAUUGCUGAGUCCGAUCGGAGCUUUGUUUGUAGACUGAGGGAUAAGAGCCGCAUGGACGGUCCUUCAUCACGCUCGAUAUAUUUUACAGACCAGUUUCAUCGUUUUAGAGAAAGGCUCGGCCAUGGUCAUCAGUUAGAUCCGUGGAGGCCCAAAGAGUAAUAGUUGCGUCCACUCUUUGCUCUGAGAUAUCUGGACGAAGGAGCCUUUUAGGUCAAGCAUGUUUUCCGUAAAGCUAAUGAGGCUGCGGAUUGGGUAGCUGCUUAUAUAGCCAGUCAUUCCGAUAGUACCCUAUAGGCUGGUGAUGGGGAGUUGCCUCUGGCAUUUGAGGUAUUUCAUUUUUUGAUUUUAUUGGAUGCAUUCAUACUCGGCAGAUCCCGUCUUAGCCCAAAAAAAAAAAAAGAAGCAAGCGCGCAGUUAGGCGUGGCCCAAAGGAAGAAGGCAGCAUACAUCUGCUGAAUUUUAGAAGCUAUGAGUUUAGCUCUGCUUUUUUCUUCUUCUUUUUUUCCUUUUUUUAUUUUUUUAUUUUUUUUAUUUUUUGAGUUUAGCUCUGCUAUCAGUAUGGGCUUGGAGAUUUCUUUGCCCUGAAGAUGGUCUCUGGAGGAAACAAGUACGUUGGAUGCACCACCGAAAGGAGAAGAUAAAACCACUUGUAAAUAAGCGAUCAAAUCAGAGCAUGAAGUAUUUAUUCCAACAUGUGUUGCAUAGUGUCUGAUCUAUAAGUAGAACAUGAAAUCGAACUAAUUCAAUCUAAUUUCUUUAUGGUUUGCACAUUUAUAAUUAAACAUGGCAUGCAGUGUGAAUAUCGCAUAAUGCAUGUGUCACAUGCUAUUGAAUAUGACUAAUACAUGCAUGCAGUGUCAAUGACCGAUACUAGUAUCAUAUGCUACUGAAUAUGACUAACGCAUGUAUGUAUCAACGAUCGAUACAUUGUGGCAAUUUGUUUUCAAAAGAAGAAGUUCAUUCUUUUAUAUUCAUACAAUUGAAUACUUUGCCAUAAUAGGAGAUGUGGGUCACAAUGCAAUGUAGCACAAUGGAGUUAAUCGUGAUGAUACACGUGGAUGUAAGAGAAGAUGCAUGGCAUGUAGGAUCAAACACUUUGUUUGCUUUGAUUGGUCAUUAUGAAUUCAACCCUAUCAAUUGUUUGGUUGUCAAUACAAUGGCUUUAAGUUUUGUGCGAAAUAUGGAUAUUGUUUGGGUCGAAAAUAUAAAUGGUAUGCUUGAGCUGGUGCCAAAUAAUCUGUAAAGGGUUACAUUGCUUAAAAUUUAGGUAUAUAUGUGUGUAUGUAUGCAUCUAUGUAUAUAAUUUGGAGAGAGUUGGUUACCAUGCUUUCAUUUUAUCCUUUUGUCCCCAUUCUCGCCUAAAGAACCUAGGAAACAUCAUUGGGGAACCCAACAGAUCUAUAAAAUAGUCGUAAUGUGAACGUUGGUAGGUCAAGGUCUAUCCACAUCAAAGGAGAGAGAGUUGAAUACAAAAUAGAAGCUGAACGUGCCUUAUUGUUUCCUUUGGCCCACAAACAAAGUAAGUAGACUUCUCAAGGUUCCCUGCCUCUCAAUCCACCACUUGAAGGUAUGGAAACAAAACCGAACAAAUAGUUGGUGCCCGGAGGAUCAGAGUUGGUGGCUCAUUUCUUGUGGAAAAGAAAAUCACCAAUGAAAAGAAGAGGGCCGAGAAUCUUAGACCUAGUGCAACUUCUUAAUUUUAUUUUAGCACCUUAAAAAAUCACUUGGUUACUCGAAUGGAGUCAUGUUGACAUAGAAAGGGAAAUAGCAAAACAGAGGAAUUUUACUUCCUGAACUCAUUAGACUCCCGGACUUUUGACUAGCAUCACUCCUUAUACUUUAGGGCCCAAAAAUAUUCUGUUUACAUGACUCUGUUUGGGAAAUGUUAAUUAACCACAUGCUUCAUGUUUAGAUUUGUAUAGCAUAUAUUGUUGGUAAUCUAAGUCACAUUGAAUUAACAACUUAAAUACCGGGAUCUUUCUUCACUAGUCUAAAUCAAUCGAGAUUUUCUAUCGCUGUCAUUUUUCGCAAGCACAUUGUCUUGAGUUAGUUGAGUGAGGGAUGCUGAUGUUAGGAUAUUGCAGGCAGCAACUCAUUCAAAAGAAUAAAUAUUAUAUAUAAAGUAAGGAGCCAUUGUCAUAAGAGUAGAAUGUGGCUUUGUUUCUCCUCUCAGAAUUUUGAUUGGGAUAUCUUCUAGUGGUGACUAGCAGUUUAACUUACACCUUGGGCUCGUUUGGUUCGCGGGAAAAGAAGGGGGGAAAGUGUGGUCAACGGGAAAGUAAUGAAAUGCCUCUUGUUUGGUUGGAGUUUUCAAAGAANNNNNNNNNNNNNNNNNNNNGGCUCGAGGCAACCUAAACAACAGGGUAGGUUUACUUGACCAUGAUUAAGAAAAUGCAGCAUAUGAUUUGGCUAAGCAAUACUGGUGAAAGGUCAAUUUACUCUGGAGCUUCAAAUAAAAUUUUAUCAGCUAGUGCCCUUUGAUAUGGAUCAAACAGAUAACCAUAACUUUUGUGGACUUGAAGAUAAGAAAAUCAAACAGUGAUUCUAUAGAGGUUUAAGAGGAGUUACUAGAAAAGUACUUUUUUUUCUACUUUGUUCUGAAGCAAUACAAUUCCACCAGGAUAAGAAAUUAAUACUUUCAUUUAAAGGCAUGUUAAUAUUUACUAGAAGCAAGAGGGGUGGGCUGAGAACGCUCUCCCUCUCUCCGAAAAGAGUAAGAAAAAAGUGACAAAUCUUUGGGAGUUGUACUAUUAAAUUUGAGGCUUUCUAAAUUGUUGCGAUGCUCUUUGACUCUUGUGAUUAGCUCAUUAAUAGCAACCAUAUUAUUCGUCGCAAUUUUCUUUUGCUUCUGUUUUGAUUAAGUUCUAGCCAUGUAGCAUGUCCUCCUAUUUCCCCAAGUAUUCCUAAUGGUUGAGUUGCACCAAUUACAUUGACUUUGAAAAAAGGAAGGUGGUAUACUAUAAUAUGGGUAUUAGAUCGGUACCGAGAGCUAAUGAGGAGGUGACUAAUGUUCGCUAUUGUUUGGCUGUUGAUAACCACAUCUUCUUGAAGAGAUGACAGAGAUGCUUUUUGGCUUGAAAAAGCAUAGGUUAAGUGAUUAAGUUUCAAGUUUUGGAUUAUAUGGACCAAAAAAAGUGGCAAUAAUGAAAGGUAAAAAGCGAUGGGAGAAUGUAAAAAUAGAGAGAAAAAUGAGAGGUGGGAGGCUUAACGAACUGGUUAAAGCCUUUUCCCGUAAACCAGGUUAGCUGGGUCACUGCAUUAAAUGGUUAAGUUUACUAGCUAAAAAGUUGGGUCACUGCAUUAAAUGGAGUGGGCCGGCCCGAAUACCACAUGGAAGUAAAAAAAAAAAAGAAACCCUGCUUUGCUGACCAUCUCAAAACUAUUGCUGGUACUUAUGAAUAUAGUUUUAGCACAUCAUGUAAUUCUAUAAUUUUGCUAGCUAUAUUGGCCUAAUCCAUAAAUUCAAUAGAAUUUUUAGCCCAAUCAUCCAAAUAGGCUCUUAGAGUCUGUUUAAAAAAUCCAGCAGGAUUGGGCUGAAUUUUUCGUUAGAGCAUGCAUUACAUAGCUUAUUUAAAUAAAGCCCAUAUCAAUUCAAUCCCUCUCCAUCCUAAAUCUUAUGGAAAAGACCUUCUUAUCCUGCAGCCCAACAGACCCGUAGAUAUAAUUUAGGCCUAGACUAGGAUGGGCUAGAAAAAAAGGACAUGGCAGCCAACAGGCCUGAUUCCUAUAGAAAAUCUAGCCCAAUCCUGCCGGAAUUCGGAUACCGACCCUCUUGAAUUUCUUUGCAUGAUUAGGUUGAAAAUCCUGCAGAAUUUGUAACGAUUUUUUUUAUCUUACGGCAGCCCAUAUAUUAGGAUUUAGGCAGAUCAUUAGAAAAUACAAGUUAAAUGGGCCAAUAAGCUCCAUUUCUACAAGAUUUUCAACUUAAUCGCGUAGAGAAAUUCAGACAGGCCAAAAUUACAGUAGGAUUGGGCUCAAUUUUCUAUGAAAAUUGGGUCAUUUAGCUUGCUUAACUCUUUUUGUUAAAGAUCCAUCAUCGUCUUGGCUUAAAUCUCAUCCAUGAGCUAUAGAACUGCAGAAUAAAAAAAAAAACGCUAUGAAGAAUUUUUUUUUUCUUUGACAGGAUUUAAGCUAGAGAUUGAUUAAGUUGAUAUAGGCCUUAUUUAAAUAAACUGUGUAAUCCAAUGAGAAAUUCAACCCAACCCUGCUCAAUUUUCUAAGAAAGGGAUAGCAAUUUCGGUAAAUAGAAAGGAGCGCGCUUCCCCUGCAAUUUUGGCUACAGGAAGUUUGUUUUUUUUUUUUUGGCCGUAGGAAGUUUUAUUAUAAGAAAUUUCUUUAAUGAUGAUAAAUGGCCUGGCCAUGUGACUCGAGCCCUCAUUCAAUAGAACGGGAGGGUGUGUUUUAAAUAGAUAAAAAAUAUUAACUAAAUUUUCUUCAGACUAGUCAAAAUUUGCCACCUAUUCAAAGAUUUUUUUGGAAAAGUGAAAGAGACGAUCUAGGAUUUAAAUAUAAAAUCUCUGGUUGCCGAGGUGAGAGAAAUAUUAAGUAUCCAAAGUAUACCAAUUUGAGUACUUUAGUGCAGACUAGCUCUUUUCCUUCUCCGAUCCGAUUCAGCCCUCUGAGCUCUCCUUCCUCAGAGGAGAAAGAGCUUCUCCUUGUUUUUCGGCAUCAACCGUCUCAGGUAUAAAGACAAUCUCCUAUACAAAAUUUAACCUUUUUAAUCUUUGCCAAUGGAGGAGUAUUUACACAUUGUUAAGAGGAAAUUCUUUCGUUAUGGUCAAAAAAAGAAAUUAAAAGCAAUCUUGGCUCGUUACAUUACUCAUCAUAUUUGGUUGGCAAGAAAUGAACAUAUUUUUCAAGAUGCAAAAUAGAGUGCUAGAUUAGUUCUUUUAAAAGCUUUUGCUCAUACCGAGAAAUUUCUUCAAAUUGUUGUUGAGGGAUUUUUGAUAGUAGGAGCAAUCUGUGGCUCUCUUUUGGUAGCUUCUAUGUCUUCCCAAAUAAUAUAUUUUCACUUGGGAGCCACCAUCCCUUGCUUCCUCAAGAUCAAUUUUGAUGGCAGUACACUGGUGAGAAAUGAUUUGGGUGGAGCAGGGUUUAUUAUUCAAAGUGACGUGUUUUGCUAAUGGUGUUACGAUUUUUGAUACUAUAGUCCUGAUGGCAAAGUUGCGGGCAAUAUGAGAGAGACUAAGUUAUAUUGUAUAUAUAAUAUGAGCUUCAUACAUUUAUCUAGAAGGUGAUUCUCUAGCAGCUAUCAGAUGGCCUUCGAAUUUGCCUAACUUUGAGGAUAGGCUACACCCUCUUCUAUAAGAUUGUUAGAGAUUAUGAUCACUACUAUUUUUUAAGGUCUUGCACGCUUAUAGAGAAGCGGAUAGUAUUGCCGAUUGGAUGACAUUGUAUAUUGCGAAUCAUUCGGGAUAUACUCUUUAGGCAUUCUUAGCCAAAUUUUCUAUUCAGAUUUGUAAUAUUUUAUUUUCUAAUUUUCAUAAAUCUAUUAUUUAAAGUAAUUUAAUAAUUAGAAUGCAAAAAAAAAAAAAGGGUACCCCAAUGAUACCAAUUUUCUAUAUAACAUAAAAGGUCCACAGCCUACAAAAAGCUCGUCAUAUUGCAUGAGCACAUGAAUUAGUAUGAUUUGCAGGAGUUGGUUAUAGUUGGCUGUAUCGUGAAUUGCUGCUACUGUGCUAUGCGGAUCCAGAGUACUUUUCAGUGACUAAUUGGCGCCACUAGAAAAUAUAAGUUUUUAGAAAAAUUUCAACCAGUGGAUCAAAAGUAUCGCCAAAUAUGCAAUGUAACAAGCGUCAAAGGCAUCAUCGUCGAUUAGAAACAAAAGAAAAAAGAUAUUUCUACAAAUAGCAAAAAAGAGAGAGGAAAGAAUGGACUCAUGCAAAUCACAAAAUCAUAUUUUUGCAUAAUACACUCUCUCCUAAGUUUUCUUUUUUUUUUUUCCAGAAAAGGUUAUCAAAACUAGACUUGUGGAAACUGCAUUGAGAAUAAUAUGGUUUUUCUUUCAAUAAUAGCUACCAGUAUUCAUCUGUGCUUCAUUCCUUGUUCAACUCCUUAAUUUUACAUAAGUGUGAGGACCAACAUAGGGUGUAUUUAGUCCGCAUAUUGGUUAAUUUUACAUAAGUGUGAGGACCAACAUAGGGUGUAUUUAGUCCGCAUAUUGGUUAUGCAUUGAGUAGAUAUUGGAUACAUAUAUAACUAUAUAGGGCUAAAGAACCCAAAUAUUAUUUCUAGCUAGAUUUUUUAAAUAAAAUCCUAGAUUGUCCAUAGUCCAUAUGGAUUUGGGUACACUGUAACACGGGCCCUUUUGAUGUUAACCACAGGCUGACUAGCUAUGCACUGAGUAAAUCUUGGGUACAUAUUGGGAUAAGGAAACCAAAUAAUAUUUUCUGGUUAGUUUUUUUUGGGUGAAAUCCUAGAUUGUUACAUUAAGUAUUUGAAAAGAUAGUAGAUAGUUGGCAUGAGAGUCUCAUCUGCUACUUUAGUGCUUGUUGAUUAUCAUAUUAAUAUAGAGUUGCUAAAAAUUACUAAUAAGAAAAAAAAGGAAGUAGUGAGACUGCAUUACUUUCGAAAUGCGUGGACGUCGAUUAAAUCAGGAAACCGUAUGCCCCACGCCCGGAUGGCUCUGUGUGGAUAUGCUUUCUUUCCAUCAGACUGAGAUGGUGUUGGGGUGACGUAUUCACACGUGGAUGGCCGAGUAGGAUUUUUCACGGGUUGGGGAGGGCAUGCAAAAACUUGCGAUCCGCAUCGAACAUUCCUUGGUGGAAGGAGGGCCCAGUGGGGGUUGCUACGCGGGUGGGGUUCUGCCCCUCCCCCUCCUAUUUAUCACCCAAAAAAAAAGCUUUUUUUAUAUAAUUAAUUAUUUUUAAUAAUCGUUAUAUUAUUUGCGGUGCCUGUUUUUAAGACUCACGCAGCCACGCGGCCCACGCUGGAUGCACAUAAAAAGUAUGCGUACGAGACCCAUCUACAGAUCCGCGCUCCACUCUUAUGAUCUCUCCUCUUGGACCUGAUCCUCGAAUGGUCCAAUAACCGUCAGAUCUAGCAUUACUUAUUUAUCAGGGGUUCCGACAAUGUUUGUCAUUAUGGCGACAUCGAAGCAACAUCUUAGGCACCAUUCUUAACUGGAUAAGCCUUGCUGACCCAUCCGCCCGUCACCUCUCCCAGAAUUUCCACGACGAUACCCACAUGAUUCACUCCACGUGUCCGAUUCAAACAUCCGAUCUGCCCUCGCUGAAAAAGAUAUCCACUCGCGUUGCACCGACAGCGGAGCACCCCAAUCCCCUUCUCCCCAUUUCUUUCUCGCCUCAUCCUCGCUCCGCCUUGUGCCGGUAUACCGGUAUACCCUCUUGCCCCGCCGUCUUCCCGCCGUACAUUAUUAUGUCACUUCGGAAACGGAAGCGUGUUGGGAGCAGCGGACGCCUCUCCUCCUCCGACGGAACCCUAACGGAAGAGUCCUCCCCCUCCCAGCCGUCGCCCCCCCCUCCACCCCGCCUCCAGCCUUGGCGGCUUCAACGACCCGGCCACCGCCGACGUCCUCCUCCUCCUCCAGCCGGACGACCCCGAUUCCUUCCAGUCGCUCGAGCUCCACCUCCACUCCGCCGCGCUCCGCCGCUCCCGCUACUUCUCCGCCCUCCUCUCCGACCGAUGGCACCACCCCGACCCCGGCGGAGACGGGAUCCGGCAGCUUUUCCUCAAGAUCUCCCCUGCCGGCGACCUACGCUGCCCCCCAUUCGACGCCUACGUCGCCGUCCUCCGCCUCCUUCACACCCUCGACUUCGCCGGCGCGAUCCGCUCGGUAGCCGACGCCCUGGAGAUGCUUCCGGUGGCGCUGGAGCUCCUCUUCGAUGACUGUGUCCGGGCCUGUGUCCGGUUCCUCGAGGCCGUGCCGUGGACCGAGGAGGAGGAGGAGGGGAUCCUCAGCGUGAUCCCCUUCCUUCGCGAAGAAGAAUCCCGAGAUCUCCUUGCUAGGGUUUCUCCGAAGGCGGCCGCCGGAGACUGGAAUUGCACGUCGGAGGGGAUGCUCUGCGGCUUGAUCCAUUCGGCGAUCCAUGGCCAUCCGAACGUGGCCACCGUGAAGGCCUUCGUGGCGAAGCUACUGAGAGAUUACUCCUCUCGGGAUUCGGUGCGGAGGGUGCUGGACCAAGCCUUCUUGUUGGGCUUGGACACGGUGAAGGAGUUGCUAGGGAAGUAUGCGAGGCCGGAUUUCAGGAUGGCAGGGGAUAACGAUGAGAGGGAGGCGAUUCAGAGGCUUAAUCUGCACGCGACCAUGGUGAAUGUGAAGCACCUGCAUUGGCUGGUGGAGAGGAUGAUCGAGCUGAGGGUGGCUGACACAGCGGUGAAAGAGUGGAGUGAGCAGACUGCGCUUGCUGCUGACUUGCAGAAGACUUUCAGGGAUGAUGCAUGGAAGAACAUAGCUCCGGGACUGCCGACGCUCGUUGCAAGGUGCACUUGCCGGCUUGCCAAUUCAGUUGCUUCUGGGUCUACUUUGGCUCCUCGGCAGGUUUGAUCUUGGAAAUCCUUGUGACAUUACUUUAUGCUUUUAUUUUGAAGAAAGAUUAAUAAUGCAAAACAAGUCCAGUAGCAUAGGAGAGAUGAAAUUAGAUAUGGGAACUAUCAACCAAGGUUGGGAAUGAAUUUGAUAGAGACAAUAGUAUAGAGUUGGAAAAGAGAUGGGCGGGACUAUAGAGGCUUGAAUGAAUGAAGUGAAAUGUAAAUCUGAAGAAACUUUUUAUUUUGGGGACUUAGCUUUAGAUAAGGACUGAUGCUAGGAGCAAUCAAUAUAACCUACCAACCCCAAGCAGAUAGGGAAGGUUUCUUGCUUAUAUCAAUGUGAAAGAGAAAGAGUUAAUAUUUUUUUGUGUGUAAAAAUUGAUAUUCUUGCUGUUUGGACGUGAAUUAUGCAAUUCCAGUCAUUUUAUUUUGCCCCUUUAUUUUGAGAAGAUUGGUCAUCAUCAACUUAUUUUUUACCAUGGGUUUCUGCACUGUUUAUUGAAUUGUUGAAUAGAGGGCUAAGCUACUUUUACUAUAUCAUGGUAUCAUAAUUUAACAAAUAAAAUUAUCAAUAAGAAAUAAACAUGUUAUAGUACUUGGGAAUAUACUGAAUUUACUGUUCCUUCUCUCGGGUAUUCUUGUGACUAUUUGGAGAUAAUGGUAUAUAAAACUUAAUGUAAGAUAUUAGUGCACCAUCAAAUGCAUUCGUCCUAUUGACUGGGUAAAAUCCCUGCUAAUUAUACUAUAAGAUAGUUAUCUUCCAACACAAUGACAGGAGCCAACAUGAAUUCUAAAAGCUGCUCUAACAAUAUAUGGAAAAGGGACAUGGUAAUAGCAGAGGCUAGGAUUAAUCUUUUAAUAAAGCUUUCUUUAACAUUGUUCUUGCUGUAGCUUAAAAACAUUUUAUGUUAAAUGGUGAGACGAGGACACCAAAUGGGUAGUAAAUGAAAGGAACUAUGAGAUUCUUGUUUUAUAAUGUGGUUCUGUAAAGUUAACAACACAGAGGAAAGACAAAAUGUUGUUCAGCAAUCCCCAGUUUUGGGGGCUGGGGGCAGUCAAUAGACAGCCCUACUUAAGACUUUUUCUUAAUGAGGGACGAAAAGAGAGGGGCUGUAAGGGUAAAGAAAACUGCAAUUAAAAGGAUAAACCUUUCCUUUUUUAACUCAAAAGUGAAAUGCUGUUGACUCAAAUUGCACAGUUGGAGCUUCGUGGAGCUUUGUUCUUAAAACCAACACCAAUCCUUGUGACUUCAUUGGCUCUCAUACAAUUACACUAAAGUUACUUAGAAAUUAGUCUUAUUUAAACACAAUCAUCUAGAGUCCUACUUUCCUAAUCAUAAGUGUGAUCUCAGAUGACUUGGGAUUAUGCAAGUCAAAAACUUCAUUUGUUUAUUACUUGCUACGAGUUAACCAGCCAGGAUAGGUUGCUUUUAUUUAUCUUCUUCCUUAUUGUCUUUUCUAACAAGCCGUAAUUUGAGUAGUGCUUCUAAUUUAUGUCUACCAAGAGUUUUUUGUUUUCAAAGUAAAGGGCUAAUGCAUUGCUUCUUAGUUACAAAAGGUGCCCCCCAUUAUGUGGAUGAUGUUGAUAAAUCCAUAGAAAAGUUAUUUUUCUCAAAGACCUCAGUAGAGGCUUACAAAAAUGUCCUAUAGAAAUUUUACAGACACCCUAAAGACAAGCUAAAUCUAGACCGACUGCCAACUAUAGUACUCUUCUGGCACUGAUCUUAGUGUAUUUAGUGGGAAAACUGUAGAUCUACUAAGAAAUUCUGUGUCACACAACAAGAUGAUCUAGUUACCAUUUUCCCAUCUUGGCUGUGGAUAAUUCACCAUGACAUUGUUGGUUUGAUACAAUUUAGGGGCCUAUAUUGAUUUUUUUCCCCAGCAGGUAGGAAAUUUGAUGAUGCUGACCCAUGAACAAUAACAAGUUUGCUAAUGUAGAACUUUUAGAUUUUAGAUCUUGCAUGUUUUAAUUUAUCGACAAAUAUCUUACAGUUUCAUCACAUGCACAUGUCCUUUCUAACUUCAACAUCUUUUAUUUGAACCAAAGUAAGUUUGAGCAGUUGCAUUUGUUGCAUCCUCCAUGUCAUCUUUGAAAAAGUAUCUUGAGCAUCUUUGGUGAAGUUACCAUCUUCCAUUGGACUAAAACACUCUGAAUUUCAUACCAAGAGUUCUAAUUUUCCGCAAAAGCUUAAACCACAUGACU